RNAcentral lists this transfer RNA (57 nucleotides) under Carangoides equula (whitefin trevally). RNAcentral's name for it is "tRNA-His". Lineage: Eukaryota; Metazoa; Chordata; Actinopteri; Carangiformes; Carangidae. The record is from RNAcentral.
AACAAAAACAUUAGAUUGUGAUUCUAAAAACUAGAGGUUAAAGCCCCCUUAUCCACC